This 330-nucleotide ribosomal RNA is filed under the name uncultured eukaryote. RNAcentral describes it as "partial 18S ribosomal RNA". It matches the Rfam family "Eukaryotic small subunit ribosomal RNA", at positions 1470 to 1796 of the family's 1831-position model. The record is from RNAcentral.
CCCUUAGAUGUUCUGGGCUGCACGCGCGCUACACUGAUGCGUUCAACGAGUUUAUGACCUUGCCCGAUAGGGUUGGGUAAUCUUUUUAAAUCGCAUCGUGAUGGGGAUAGAUUAUUGCAAUUAUUAAUCUUCAACGAGGAAUUCCUAGUAAGCGCGAGUCAUCAGCUCGUGCUGAUUACGUCCCUGCCCUUUGUACACACCGCCCGUCGCACCUACCGAUUGAAUGGUCCGGUGAAUCUUUAGGACUGUGGCUGAGGCCUUGCCUUGUGCGGGUCUGGCCGUGGGAAUUUAGUUAAACCUUACCAUUUAGAGGAAGGUGAAGUCGUAACA